Molecule: transfer RNA, 45 nt
Filed under: Schistosoma haematobium
Lineage: Eukaryota; Metazoa; Platyhelminthes; Trematoda; Strigeidida; Schistosomatidae
Description: tRNA-Pro
Source: RNAcentral
AGCUUUGGGUCUUGAGGACCUGUUUAUUUAAGUAGGCUUACUGAA